Molecule: ribosomal RNA, 253 nt
Filed under: uncultured bacterium
Lineage: Bacteria
Description: partial 16S ribosomal RNA
Rfam family: Bacterial small subunit ribosomal RNA
Source: RNAcentral
UACGUAGGGGGCAAGCGUUGUCCGGAAUCAUUGGGCGUAAAGAGCGCGUAGGCGGUCCGGUAAGUCCGCUCUGAAAGUCCGGGGCUCAACCCCGGGAGGCGGGCGGAUACUGUCGGGCUAGAGUCCGGAAGAGGCGAGUGGAAUUCCUGGUGUAGCGGUGAAAUGCGCAGAUAUCAGGAGGAACACCGAUGGCGAAGGCAGCUUACUACACGGAUAUUGACACUGAGGCACGAAAGCGUGGGGAUCAAACAGG